GAUGAACGCUAGCGGCAGGCUUAACACAUGCAAGUCGAGGGGUAAAUAUAGCAAUAUAUGAGACCGGCAAACGGGUGCGGAACACGUACUGAACCUACCUUUAUCUGGGGCAUAGCCCGGAGAAAUCCGGAUUAACUCCCCAUAGUAUCAUUGGAUGGCAUCAUUUGGUGAUUAAAAAUUUAUUGGAUAAAGAUGGCAGUGCGUCCCAUUAGCUAGUUGGUAGGGUAACGGCCUACCAAGGCGACGAUGGGUAGCUGGUGUGAGAGCACGACCAGCCACACGGGCACUGAGACACGGGCCCGACUCCUACGGGAGGCAGCAGUGAGGAAUAUUGGUCAAUGGACGCAAGUCUGAACCAGCCAUGCCGCGUGAAGGAUGAAGGCCUUCUGGGUUGUAAACUUCUUUAUGUGGGAAGAAACCUCUGAUUUCUAUUAGAGUUGACGGUACCAUAGGAAUAAGCACCGGCUAACUCCGUGCCAGCAGCCGCGGUAAU
Molecule: ribosomal RNA, 493 nt
Filed under: uncultured bacterium
Lineage: Bacteria
Description: bacterial SSU rRNA
Rfam family: Bacterial small subunit ribosomal RNA
Source: RNAcentral